AAAUCCCCGGGCUCAACCUGGGAACUGCAUCUGAUACUGGCAAGCUUGAGUCUCGUAGAGGGGGGUAGAAUUCCAGGUGUAGCGGUGAAAUGCGUAGAGAUCUGGAGGAAUACCGGUGGCGAAGGCGGCCCCCUGGACGAAGACUGACGCUCAGGUGCGAAAGCGUGGGGAGCAAACAGGAUUAGAUACCCUGGUAGUCCACGCCGUAAACGAUGUCGACUUGGAGGUUGUGCCCUUGAGGCGUGGCUUCCGGAGCUAACGCGUUAAGUCGACCGCCUGGGGAGUACGGCCGCAAGGUUAAAACUCAAAUGAAUUGACGGGGGCCCGCACAAGCGGUGGAGCAUGUGGUUUAAUUCGAUGCAACGCGAAGAACC
Molecule: ribosomal RNA, 374 nt
Filed under: Escherichia coli
Lineage: Bacteria; Pseudomonadati; Pseudomonadota; Gammaproteobacteria; Enterobacterales; Enterobacteriaceae
Description: bacterial SSU rRNA
Rfam family: Bacterial small subunit ribosomal RNA
Source: RNAcentral